RNAcentral lists this long non-coding RNA (1565 nucleotides) under Musa acuminata (dwarf banana). RNAcentral's name for it is "long non-coding RNA (MACU_LNC001061)". Lineage: Eukaryota; Viridiplantae; Streptophyta; Magnoliopsida; Zingiberales; Musaceae. The record is from RNAcentral.
AAAGCCAAUAUGACUUCAGAACCAUCCUUGAGAUGAUAGUUUCAACCUUUUCAGACACUUUGUAGCUAAAGGCAGUCUUUAAAUAGCAGCAGAAGCUGCAUUUGUGACUCUUAACUCAACAAAAUAGCAAUGGCUAAUGGAAUGCAGCUGAUUCGAAGUAGGCCAAACUUUUCUGAUCAUGGAGGCUGAACAGUUCCUUGACGAUACUAAACAUCUGUGAAGGAGAACAAGCAAGCUGGAUUCUCACAUACUUAUCCAAGAACUUGCUGCGGUUACAGGAGUUUGGACAUGGAGUGCGGGGUGCCAUCAGUCAAAAGGUCAUCGAUGCUCUGUAUCUGAUAUGCUCGAGGGCUAAAAGAAGGAAUCCAUGGACCGCUGUUUGGGAUUCUUUUUCUCAUCGCAGCCAGUGGAGUCAUCAGACUUGUGGAAUCCCUGCAAGAAUAAGAACAAGAGCACAUGGGAGAGGAGACUUUAGAUUAAACAUAUUAAGGGUUUCAUCAUGAUGUCCAUAUCACAUUUACAGAAAAUGUGAAGAUUUCAUGCUGUCUUCGAAAAGGUAAGAUCACUGGCGUUGGGCAUCUCUAUCUAAAUUAUAUUAGAGGGAAUCAUUAUCCUCAGGAAUUCGUCUUUGGAACGCCAUUGUCAUGCAUUAUCAGCUUUAUCUAAGCAGAGGAACAUAUGCUACUGCAGGAGAAGACAAGUGGAGAGUUUGUAAACACUUGCUCAGCGCAAGAAAUGCAGUCUUCUAAUUAAGCUUUGAUCAACGCAGAAGGCGAGGUGAUGGGAAACCAAACUGCAGAUGGACACAUAAUGUUAUUUCAUAUCUAUUUUAUCUUAAAAAGAAGACAAAUCCCACAUUAAAAAGUGUAUUAUUUCCAAAGGAAGAACAAUUUGAGCUCACAGAGUCACGAAAACAGAGUAAAGAUAUAAUAUGUUGUAUAAUUUCUGGAUUUCAACUCGGAUUGGUGUGGACAAAGUGAAACGAGUUAUUUCAUCAGCUACGCAAUUCCUGUCGGUGUGGUGGAGUGGAACGAUUCUUAUUAGCUGACUUAUUAUCUGAGUUCUCCUCGGAAGAGAAAACAUUUGUAGCUCUAUUAUUUCAUUUCUUAUAAGAUUUUUGGUGCAUAUUCUUAGAUUUUCUUCAGCUCAGCUUUUAAGGCCAUUGCUUCUGAUAUUUUUGGUGGAUUCCGAUAAUUAAGCUGGAGAUUUUACGGCAAAGUUUAUAUGCACAAGCAAAAUUUUUGAGUGAGGAAGCAUACCGAACAACGAGAAAACAUGCGUGAAGUAUAGUGAGAAGCAUAAUUCGAGGCAAUCAAAUAUCCUUUUGUUAUCGAGCAAGCAUAUAUAUAUAUAUACUUGUCUCUAUUUUUAGGCCGAGAAAUAUGAAGUGAAGAGAUGCUGCACAGUAUUCUUCUAGCUUGCUAGUUGGACAAUGGAUCACAAUUAUCAGGUGUUUGAGGUGACCCGGAACUGCACAGUAUAGCCUUUGAUUAGAGAUGAUAAACACAUGCAAACUCCAACAAUCUUGGGAAUGCAUCGACGACUUUUAGGCACACUGGGCAUCG